GAUGAACGCUAGCGAUAGGCCUAACACAUGCAAGUCGAGGGGCAUCACAUGAGGCAGCAAUGCCGAUGGUGGCGACCGGCGCACGGGUGAGUAACACGUAUGCAACCUGCCUUCAACAAGGGGAUAACCCGUUGAAAAACGGACUAAUACCCUAUAAUACAGGGGUCCCGCAUGGGGAUAUUUGUUAAAGAUUGAUCGGUUGAAGAUGGGCAUGCGUUCCAUUAGCUGGUUGGUGAGGUAACGGCUCACCAAGGCAACGAUGGAUAGGGGAACUGAGAGGUUUAUCCCCCACACUGGUACUGAGACACGGACCAGACUCCUACGGGAGGCAGCAGUGAGGAAUAUUGGUCAAUGGACGCAAGUCUGAACCAGCCACGUC
RNAcentral lists this ribosomal RNA (379 nucleotides) under uncultured bacterium. RNAcentral's name for it is "bacterial SSU rRNA". It matches the Rfam family "Bacterial small subunit ribosomal RNA", at positions 28 to 398 of the family's 1533-position model. The record is from RNAcentral.